GAAGCAUUUUAAACGGCCGCGGUAUCCUAACCGUGCAAAGGUAGCGUAAUCACUUGUCUUUUAAAUAAAGACUUGUAUGAAAGGCUAAAUGAGAACGGACCUGUCUCUUAUAAUCAACCAGUAAAACUGAUCUUCAAGUACAAAAGCUUGAAUAAACACAUAAGACGAGAAGACCCUGUGGAGCUUAAAACUAACACUAUAUCACCACGAAAUAGCACAAGUUUUAAGUUGGGGCGACUUCGGAACAAAGCAAAACUUCCGAGCACAGAGCCAACCCCUCUCAUCUAGACCAACAAGUCAAAUGAAUAAGCCGACCCAGUCUUUCUGAACAACGAACCAAGUUACCCCAGGGAUAACAGCGCUAUCUUCUUCAAGAGUCCCUAUCGACAAGAAGGUUUACGACCUCGAUGUUGGAUCAGGACCCCCAAACGGUGCAACAGCUGUUAAAGGUUCGUUUGUUCAACGAUUAAUGUCCUACGUGAUCUGAGUUC
This 491-nucleotide ribosomal RNA is filed under the name Carinascincus pretiosus. RNAcentral's name for it is "partial 16S ribosomal RNA". It matches the Rfam family "Bacterial large subunit ribosomal RNA", at positions 1914 to 2612 of the family's 2925-position model. The record is from RNAcentral. Lineage: Eukaryota; Metazoa; Chordata; Lepidosauria; Squamata; Scincidae.